CCUACGGGAGGCAGCAGUGAGGAAUAUUGGACAAUGGGCGCAAGCCUGAUCCAGCCAUGCCGCGUGCAGGAUGACGGUCCUAUGGAUUGUAAACUGCUUUUGUACAGGAAGAAACAGUUCUACGUGUAGAACCUUGACGGUACUGUAAGAAUAAGGAUCGGCUAACUCCGUGCCAGCAGCCGCGGUAAUACGGAGGAUCCAAGCGUUAUCCGGAAUCAUUGGGUUUAAAGGGUCCGUAGGCGGUUUAGUAAGUCAGUGGUGAAAGCCCAUCGCUCAACGGUGGAACGGCCAUUGAUACUGCUAAACUUGAAUUAUUAGGAAGUAACUAGAAUAUGUAGUGUAGCGGUGAAAUGCUUAGAGAUUACAUGGAAUACCAAUUGCGAAGGCAGGUUACUACUAAUGGAUUGACGCUGAUGGACGAAAGCGUGGGUAGCGAACAGGAUUAGAUACCCUGGUAGUCCACGCCGUAAACGAUGGAUACUAGCUGUUGGAAGCAAUUUCAGUGGCUAAGCGAAAGUGAUAAGUACCCCACCUGGGGAGUACGUUCGCAAGAAUGAAACUCAAAUGAAUUGACGG
RNAcentral lists this ribosomal RNA (576 nucleotides) under uncultured bacterium. RNAcentral describes it as "bacterial SSU rRNA". It matches the Rfam family "Bacterial small subunit ribosomal RNA", at positions 338 to 916 of the family's 1533-position model. The record is from RNAcentral.